RNAcentral lists this ribosomal RNA (259 nucleotides) under uncultured Glomeromycotina. RNAcentral describes it as "partial 25S ribosomal RNA". The record is from RNAcentral. Lineage: Eukaryota; Fungi; Glomeromycota.
AUGGUAUGCGGGUUUACUCGUGUUCUUUCGAGUGCACUUCCUUACUUGCUAGUUAGCAUCAAUUUUGGUUAUCAUAUAAAAAUUGAGGGAAGGUGGCUUUUCUUCGGAAAAGUGUUAUAGACCUCGAGAAAUGUGGUGACCGGGAWUGAGGAUUGCAGCGGAUACCCUUUAGGGCUAGUCACCUGGCUUCUGAUGAUUACCCCGUCUUCGAUAGCUUGCUAACGUUGGUGGGAUUCAAUUGUCUAGAUGUUAGAGUGAU